UUACCGAAACCCGUAGAUCCGAACUUGUGCUGAAUUGAUAAGUGUUACAAGUACGGACAUAUGGGGAUCCGUUGA
RNAcentral lists this microRNA precursor (75 nucleotides) under Mayetiola destructor (Hessian fly). Its description in RNAcentral is "mir-10 microRNA precursor family". It matches the Rfam family "mir-10 microRNA precursor family". Rfam says of the family: In this case the mature sequence comes from the 5' arm of the precursor. The extents of the hairpin precursors are not generally known and are estimated based on hairpin prediction. Lineage: Eukaryota; Metazoa; Arthropoda; Insecta; Diptera; Cecidomyiidae. The record is from RNAcentral.